AUGGUCGGAGGGUCCGUCGCUCGUCCGUUAUCUAAGGGACGGGAGGAAAGUCCGGGCAACACAGAGCACCAUAUUUCCUAACGGGAAGCUAUCGGCAACGGUAGAGAAGUGUGACAGAAAACAACCGCCGCUUUGCGGUAAGGGUGAAAAGGCGAGGCAAGAGCUCACCGGGCGCGACGGCGACAUCGCGUGCCGCACACCUUAUGGGUUGCAAAGCCAAGUAUACCGGCAUCCAAGGGCUGCUCGUCCAUUGCCGGGGGGUAGGCUGCGUCAGAUAAAUGACGGACGGCGCGGAGCAACUCUCAUUCGAGAAAGUGACUGCGCCACAUAACCCGGCUUAUACUCCGACCAUGCUU
RNAcentral lists this RNase P RNA (356 nucleotides) under Muribaculaceae bacterium. RNAcentral's name for it is "RNase P RNA component class A". It matches the Rfam family "Bacterial RNase P class A". Rfam says of the family: Ribonuclease P (RNase P) is a ubiquitous endoribonuclease, found in archaea, bacteria and eukarya as well as chloroplasts and mitochondria. Its best characterised activity is the generation of mature 5'-ends of tRNAs by cleaving the 5'-leader elements of precursor-tRNAs. The record is from RNAcentral. Lineage: Bacteria; Pseudomonadati; Bacteroidota; Bacteroidia; Bacteroidales; Muribaculaceae.